CCGCCCCGCUUCCUUUCUCUUAGCGUCCGGCCAAGCCGGCAUCUCUUUAAUCAAGUUUCUGCAUCAGGAAUGGGAAGACUAGUUGGGGAUCCGACGGUAAAUGAAUAGGUGACUUUCAGCAGGUUCACACUAAGUACACACUCAUCCUGUAAAAAAGGAUGAUUGUGAGGGUGCAGCGCAGAUGUGCGUACAAAUGGUUCAAGAUAAGGAUCUCUGCUUUUCGACGUUGGAGGAGUCAUUGUGUACCCUGGAUUCAUUGAUUCAUACCUUACUUUGUGCUAGGUGCUGGGGAAAGAGCAGAGAAGGAGACAGAUUCAGUCCCUGAUCUCAUAGAACUUAAACUUUGGUGAGAGACAACCAAUAACCACAGAGAUGGUUUGUCCUUACUGGAGCAUGUUUAUAGUAGCUGUUUUAAAGACUUUGUCAGAUAAUUCCAACAGCUGUGUACUCUCAGCAUUUGUUGAUUGUCUUUUCCUUUGUGAGUUGAGAUUUUCAUGUUCCUUCAUAUGUGUUAGCUCUGAUCAAAUAAUCAAAUCAAUUUUGCCUCCUCUGGAAACUGACCUUUAGAUCAUUUCACAACUGACAUUCUCUUUCGCUUAGACCACAUUCCAUUUGCUAAGAACAGUAACUUUCCCCUCCAGACUUGCCCAGGAUCUGGACCUGCCGAGAGAAUUCUCCAUAGAAAAAAAAUCCUCCUAGAGUCAUUUAAAAUUUCUGACUCUCUGUCCCUGGCUGCUGAUGCCAUUUUGGUUCAGCUCAUCUGGUCUCCAAAUGAUCUAAUAAAUUUGUAAUCCCUUGCCACUUUUG
Long non-coding RNA from Pipistrellus kuhlii (Kuhl's pipistrelle), 807 nucleotides. RefSeq lists it as uncharacterized. Lineage: Eukaryota; Metazoa; Chordata; Mammalia; Chiroptera; Vespertilionidae. The record is from RefSeq and is a predicted model, not a curated record. The transcript is spliced from 2 exons.